RNAcentral lists this ribosomal RNA (587 nucleotides) under uncultured bacterium. Its description in RNAcentral is "partial 16S ribosomal RNA". It matches the Rfam family "Bacterial small subunit ribosomal RNA", at positions 355 to 1375 of the family's 1533-position model. The record is from RNAcentral.
UGGGGAAUUUUGGACAAUGGGCGAAAGCCUGAUCCAGCAAUGCCGCGUGUGUGAAGAAGGCCUUCGGGUUGUAAAGCACUUUUGUCCGGAAAGAAAUCCUUGGCUCUAAUACAGUCGGGGGAUGACGGUACCGGAAGAAUAAGCACCGGCUAACUACGUGCCAGCAGCCGCGGUAAUACGUAGGGUGCAAGCGUUAAUCGGAAUUACUGGGCGUAAAGCGUGCGCAGGCGGUUUGCUAAGACCGAUGUGAAAUCCCCGGGCUCAACCUGGGAACUGCAUUGGUGACUGGCAGGCUAGAGUAUGGCAGAGGGGGGUAGAAUUCCACGUGUAGCAGUGAAAUGCGUAGAGAUGUGGAGGAAUACCGAUGGCGAAGGCAGCCCCCUGGGCCAAUACUGACGCUCAUGCACGAAAGCGUGGGGAGCAAACAGGAUUAGAUACCCUGGUAGUCCACGCCCUAAACGAUGGUCAACUAGUUGUUGGGGAUUCAUUUCCUUAGUAACGUAGCUAACGCGUGAAGUUGACCGCCUGGGGGAGUACGGUCGCAAGAUUAAAACUCAAAUGAAUUGACGGGGUCAUAGCUGUUUCCU